Molecule: ribosomal RNA, 496 nt
Filed under: uncultured bacterium
Lineage: Bacteria
Description: partial 16S ribosomal RNA
Rfam family: Bacterial small subunit ribosomal RNA
Source: RNAcentral
AUGAACGCUGGCGGCGUGCCUAAUACAUGCAAGUCGAGCGAACAGACGAGGAGCUUGCUCCUCUGACGUUAGCGGCGGACGGGUGAGUAACACGUGGAUAACCUACCUAUAAGACUGGGAUAACUUCGGGAAACCGGAGCUAAUACCGGAUAAUAUAUUGAACCGCAUGGUUCAAUAGUGAAGGACGGUUUUGCUGUCACUUAUAGAUGGAUCCGCGCCGCAUUAGCUAGUUGGUAAGGUAACGGCUUACCAAGGCAACGAUGCGUAGCCGACCUGAGAGGGUGAUCGGCCACACUGGAACUGAGACGCGGUCCAGACUCCUACGGGAGGCAGCAGUAGGGAAUCGUCCGCAAUGGGCGAAAGCCUGACGGAGCAACGCCGCGUGAGUGAUGAAGGUCUUCGGAUCGUAAAACUCUGUUAUUAGGGAAGAACAAAUGUGUAAGUAACUAUGCACGUCUUGACGGUACCUAAUCAGAAAGCCACGGCUAACUACGUG